Molecule: ribosomal RNA, 330 nt
Filed under: Triticum aestivum (bread wheat)
Lineage: Eukaryota; Viridiplantae; Streptophyta; Magnoliopsida; Poales; Poaceae
Description: partial small subunit ribosomal RNA
Source: RNAcentral
AUGGACAUUGACUACGACAGCCUGGUGGGCGUUGUGCUCUUCAACCACUCAGAGGUGGACUUCGCCGUGAAGCCUGGCGACCGCGCCGCACGGAUGAUCAUCGAUGUGAUCGCGACGCCGGAUGUCGCCGAGGUGGAGGACCUCGAUGCCAUCGUUCAGGGUGUGAGGGAGGAUUUGGGUCCGCCGGCGUCUGAACUCCAAGCCUUGCUAGAUACAUGUAGAGAAGUGGUCUGUUUAGGCUGGUGGUGGAACAUUAGGGAAGGUACCCACCUUUGGUUGUGUGUGUUUAAUUUAUUUUGCACUGGACGUGUCCCUGAUUUCUAUCUAUGA